UAACUGUCUCCUGCAGCCAAACAAUGAAAUUGAUCUUACAGUACAAACGCUGUAAUAAAACUAUAAGACGAGAAGACCCUGUGGAGCUUUAAAUUUAUACAUUAACCUGAUACUAACCGUAUACAACAUAAUGUAAAUUUUAAGUUGGGGUGACUGUGGAGUAAAAAUAAACCUCCAUAUAAUAACGGCUAAACCCCGUAACACCAGGCUUACAAGCCUAACCAAAACAUUUUGACCCAGUCAAACUGAAUACUGAACCAAGUUACCCCAGGGAUAACAGCGCUAUCCCCUUAAAGAGUUCACAUCGCCAGGGGGGUUUACGACCUCGAUGUUGGAUCAGGACUUCCCAGUGGUGUAGCCGCUACUAAAGGUUCGUUUGUUCAACGAAUAACGUCCUACGUGAUCU
This 406-nucleotide ribosomal RNA is filed under the name Phelsuma grandis (Madagascar giant day gecko). RNAcentral's name for it is "partial large subunit ribosomal RNA". It matches the Rfam family "Bacterial large subunit ribosomal RNA", at positions 2013 to 2606 of the family's 2925-position model. The record is from RNAcentral. Lineage: Eukaryota; Metazoa; Chordata; Lepidosauria; Squamata; Gekkonidae.